RNAcentral lists this ribosomal RNA (1437 nucleotides) under Triticum aestivum (bread wheat). Its description in RNAcentral is "partial small subunit ribosomal RNA". The record is from RNAcentral. Lineage: Eukaryota; Viridiplantae; Streptophyta; Magnoliopsida; Poales; Poaceae.
AUGGCUCGUGGCGACCAUCAAGAUGAUGAUGAUGACUUCAUGGAUGCACCGCAACAGAAUCGUGCGACUGGUUGGGUAAAAGAUGGCGAAGAGAAGAAGAAAGGUCAUCACAAUAGGGCUUCGCAAGAACGCCUGACCAUUUUGAACGAUGGAUUUACUGAUGAGCAGAAGGGAGCUGCCGGUGAGAUGGGGAUGCAGGCUCUGAUGGAUGUUCACUACAAGAACCUAGUGAACCCUGUAUGCGACUGGCUCGGUGAGAUUUAUGAUCCUGCCUCUAGAGAAUUUGUGAUUGCGGGACGGGGAAGACUGCCUUUGGAUGAGGACUCGGUAUUCUGCACUUUGGGUGUGCCCCGCAGAGAAAUCAAAGUCCCGUAUGAGGUGAACAAUAAGAUUGAGGAAGCCUUGUUCCCCCGUUUGUUUCCUGGGGUGUCAACCAUGCCGAAUACGACUGUGCUGGCAACUUCGCUGGAGGGCAUGAAAACCCAUGGCGAGGUAUUUAAGAUGAAGCUGCUCAUGUACUUGAUCUCAGCUAUCUUUGCGCCUACCACGUCUCUCCGCCAAAGCAACAAGUGCUUCCCCAUCCUGGCGAAGUUGAAAGACGUAAAGAAAAUGAAUUGGUGUAAAUUCAUCGUUGACUUCCUGCAUGAUGCAUUCUCAAACAAGAUGUACCAGAAGGGUUGUCGCUUGCACCUAAUGCUCAUGUACGUCGAUGCUCUUGAUCUGUCCACCGUUGACUUUACCGGGAUAGGAGGCCCGCCGCCUGCACAUAAGUUUGUUGUCUCUGCAUGGAUGGAUGCUGUUGUCAAGGCUGUGCUUGCCGCAGACAGGAUAACCGAUACGAAAUAUGAAAAACUGCAGCUAAUGGCCAAGAAUGCUAUAGACUACAGUGUGUUUGGUGGGCCACAAAACUUUGGCAAGUGGAUGGAUGUGCAUUCAGCUCCAUCUUAUCCUACUGAGGCGAGGGCACCUGUUGAGCAUCUAGUUGGGCAGUUUGCCUCCGGCAUGACCAGCUUGCUCGGGAAGUUGGUUGAGGGUUGGACGGCACUUAAUGGCUGUGACAGUGACGCGGUUGCGAGGCAAUUCACAUCAUUCGUUGAAGAACGGACACAUCAACCAACUGGUUGCCAUGGCCGGUACGACUACAACAGCUCACAGGAGCUUCCCGACACGCAAGAUGAUCUAGAUGGAGACGCUGGUCUUGACAAGGACGAUGACGAUGACAUGGAGAAUGUGCAACAUGCAACCGAUGACGAUGAACACGGUGAAGUUUGUGGAGGUGGUACGAAGGGUAAGGUUGCACUAGAUGUCCCUCCAGCAGAGGAAGCAGUUGAACAAACAGGUGCCAGAGACACGGGGGUGUCGCUGUCAAAGAGGGGCAGAGCUCCAGAGGAUGUUGGGCAGGGCUCUGUUGGCAAGAGGUCUAGGACCGUCCCGUAG